AGUCGAGCGGUAACAGGAGAAAGCUUGCUUUCUUGCUGACGAGCGGCGGACGGGUGAGUAAUGUAUGGGGAUCUGCCCGAUAGAGGGGGAUAACUACUGGAAACGGUGGCUAAUACCGCAUGACGUCUACGGACCAAAGCAGGGGGCUCUUCGGACCUUGCGCUAUCGGAUGAACCCAUAUGGGAUUAGCUAGUACGUGAGGUAAUGGCUCACCUAGGGGACGAUUUUUAGCGGUUUUAAAAGGUGGUUAACCCCACUGGGAUGAGACAGGCCCCGAAUCCUUCCGGGAGGCAGCAAUGGGGAAUAUUCCCCAAGGGGGCCAACCUUAAGCCAGCCAGGCGGGGUUUAGGAAGAAGGCCUUAGGGUUGUAAAGUACUUUCAGCGGGGAGGAAGGUGUUAGGAUUAUUAUUCUUACCAAUUGACGUUACCCGCAGAAGAAGCACCGGCUAAUUCCGUGCCAGCAGCCGCGGUAAUACGGAGGGUGCAAGCGUUAAUCGGAAUUACUGGGCGUAAA
This 514-nucleotide ribosomal RNA is filed under the name Proteus sp. (in: enterobacteria). RNAcentral describes it as "bacterial SSU rRNA". It matches the Rfam family "Bacterial small subunit ribosomal RNA", at positions 60 to 564 of the family's 1533-position model. The record is from RNAcentral. Lineage: Bacteria; Pseudomonadati; Pseudomonadota; Gammaproteobacteria; Enterobacterales; Morganellaceae.